UAAAUGGGGUUUUGGGUUAAUC
This 22-nucleotide small nuclear RNA is filed under the name Arabidopsis thaliana (thale cress). RNAcentral describes it as "snRNA_17167". Lineage: Eukaryota; Viridiplantae; Streptophyta; Magnoliopsida; Brassicales; Brassicaceae. The record is from RNAcentral.